RNAcentral lists this ribosomal RNA (778 nucleotides) under uncultured Neocallimastigales. RNAcentral's name for it is "partial large subunit ribosomal RNA". It matches the Rfam family "Eukaryotic large subunit ribosomal RNA", at positions 23 to 638 of the family's 3401-position model. Lineage: Eukaryota; Fungi; Neocallimastigomycota; Neocallimastigomycetes; Neocallimastigales. The record is from RNAcentral.
GAGACUCUGUGCGCGUGCAUAUCAAUAAGCGGAGGAAAAGAAACUAACAAGGAUUCCCCUAGUAACGGCGAGUGAAGCGGGAAGAGCUCAAAUUUGAAAUCUUCAAGGUUUUACCUUGACGAAUUGUAGUUUAUAGAAGUGUUUUCUGUUAGUGGAGUUUGGUAAAAGUUCUUUGGAAUAGGACAUCAUAGAGGGUGAGAAUCCCGUAUUUGACCAGUUACUUUCCAGUUGUGCGAUACACUUUCAACGAGUCGGAUUGUUUGGGAAUGCAGUCCAAAAUGGGUGGUAAAUUUCAUCUAAAGCUAAAUAUUGGCGAGAGACCGAUAGCGAACAAGUACCGUGAGGGAAAGAUGAAAAGAACUUUGAAAAGAGAGUUAAACAGUACGUGAAAUUGUCAAAAGGGAAGCGUUUGACACCAGUGUUGUUUAGUUGAAAAUCAAUUCAAUAGUUUUUGAUUCUAAGUAGUAUUGACUUCAUCAGCUUGCUGCUUUCUUCUCAGAAAUUAUUGAAUGCACUUUUCAGUUAACAAGUCAACAUCAAUUUCUUUUGUUGUAAAAGGGUAAGAGGAAGGUGGCUUGCGCUUCGGCUCAAGUGUUUAUAGCCUUUUAUCUCUGCAAUCGGAGAGAUUGAGGUCUGCAGCGUAGAUCCUUCGGGGUUAGAUACAUUGGUGCUAAGCUAUAGCCUUGUAUAGACAACUUGUUGACUAUGCUCAGUCAUGUAGCUUACUCGCUGAUGCUAUUUUACCUACGCUUAGGAUGUUGACAGCAGUAUAGACUGU